UUUCCGCCCCCCUCCUCCCGCUGGCAGGCCGCAAGCAGUAGGUAGCCCCUCAGCCAUUCCCAGCCAGUUGCCACUAGGAGAGGCGGUGCUGGCUGGGUCACAGUCCAGGGGCUGCCCGAGGGAGGGGCUAGGCCGCCCGCUACCUGCAGCUGGACGCCGCACGCCUUGUCCGCUGCAACGCUCAUGGGGAGCCCCGAAACUACCUCAACACCCUGUCCACGGCUCUGAACAUCCUGGAGAAAUACGGCCGCAACCUUCUCAGCCCUCAGCGGCCUCGGUACUGGCGUGGUGUCAAGUUUAAUAACCCUGUCUUUCGCAGCACGGUGGAUGCUGUGCAGGGGGGCCGAGAUGUGCUGCGAUUAUAUGGCUACACAGAGGAGCAACCAGAUGGGUUGAGCUUCCCCGAAGGGCAGGAGGAGCCAGAUGAGCACCAGGUUGCUACAGUCACACUGGAAGUACUGCUGCUUCGGACAGAGCUCAGCCUGCUAUUGCAGAAUACUCAUCCAAGACAGCAGGCACUGGAGCAGCUGUUGGAAGACAAGGUUGAAGAUGAUAUGCUGCAGCUUUCAGAAUUUGACCCCCUAUUGAGAGAGAUUGCUCCUGGCCCCCUCACCACACCCUCUGUCCCAGGCUCCACUCCUGGUCCCUGCUUCCUCUGUGGUUCUGCCCCAGGCACACUGCACUGCCCAUCCUGUAAACAGGCCCUGUGUCCAGCCUGUGACCACCUGUUCCAUGGACACCCAUCCCGUGCUCAUCACCUCCGCCAGACCCUGCCUGGGGUCCUGCAGGGUACCCACCUGAGCCCCAGGUGAGAGGGCUUCUCUUCUGGGUGGGAGUGAAAUUUAGAGAACUUAAGAUCACUUGAUUAUGGACUACCUGCCAGUUUCUGUGCUAAAGACUGUUUAAUAGAGGACAAGUAGCCAGUCAGAACCCUGAAAGAGAUAAUAGACAUACACAUCAAGCAGGUAGCAAUUGCAGUAACCCAGGUUGUUAUGGUAAUAGGUGGUUUGCAACCUAGUCUGAAGGGUCAGCUGAAUCAGGUGGCAAUAUUUUAAACACCUAGUGUAGGUCAGGCCAUGUGUUAGCAGUAUCUACUAGGAAGAAGUGAGCUUUAAGCUGUCAUUUAAAUGUUGCAUAAGCUAUGGGUAUAGGAGUAUUCGAGACAGACAAUGUGUGCAAAGGCCAGUGACAUGAGUUGUUACCCAGGAAAUGGAGAAUGCUUAGAGGUGAGGGAUCCAGGCACCAGGUGCCACUUCAGCAGGCCAUGUCUGCUUUUCCAUUACAGUUUACCUGCCUCAGCCCAACCACGGCCCCAGUCGACCUCCCUGCUGGCCCUGGGAGACAGCUCUCUUUCUUCCCCUAAUCCUGCAAGUGCUCAUUUGCCCUGGCACUGUGCUGCCUGUGCCAUGCUAAAUGAGCCUUGGGCAGUGCUCUGUGUGGCCUGUGAUCGGCCCCGAGGCUGUAAGGGGUUG
This 1472-nucleotide long non-coding RNA is filed under the name Homo sapiens (human). Its description in RNAcentral is "HSALNT0208404". The record is from RNAcentral. Lineage: Eukaryota; Metazoa; Chordata; Mammalia; Primates; Hominidae.